GUAGGGUGCAAGCGUUAAUCGGAAUUACUGGGCGUAAAGCGUGCGCAGGCGGGUUUGUAAGUCUGUCGUGAAAGCCUCGGGGCUCAACCUGGGAAUUGCGAUGGAGACUGCAAGGCUUGAAUCUGGCAGAGGGGGGUAGAAUUCCACGUGUAGCAGUGAAAUGCGUAGAGAUGUGGAGGAACACCGAUGGCGAAGGCAGCCCCCUGGGUCAAGAUUGACGCUCAUGCACGAAAGCGUGGGGAGCAAACAGGAUUAGAUACCCUGGUAGUCCACGCCCUAAACGAUGUCUACUAGUUGUCGGGUUUUAAUUAACUUGGUAACGCAGCUAACGCGUGAAGUAGACCGCCUGGGGAGUACGGUCGCAAGAUUA
Molecule: ribosomal RNA, 370 nt
Filed under: uncultured organism
Description: partial 16S ribosomal RNA
Rfam family: Bacterial small subunit ribosomal RNA
Source: RNAcentral